This is a non-coding RNA of Lupinus albus (white lupine), 309 nucleotides long. The record is from the annotation of a GenBank genome assembly. Lineage: Eukaryota; Viridiplantae; Streptophyta; Magnoliopsida; Fabales; Fabaceae.
UUAGCAGACAAACUUGGAAAGAAAUCCCAAAAAUCCUUCACACUCUACAACCUUCAAAUCCUCCAUAUACAGCAAACCAAUAUCAUAUGUCACUCUUAUCCCUUUCUUCAUAUACACCUUUACUUCUCCCUUUAUAAUUUCAGAAUAAAUAUCAUAUAUUGAUAGUAGCAGAAUCUAUCCUCAUAUAGACGUGUUUGGCUCCCGAUUCCCCACGUAGACUCCAAUCCUCAGGAUGGAUGAAGGUCAUUAUAGGAUGUUGUGCGGACAUUAGCUUCUGUUGCUUCGCCCUUCUUAAGGGAUAAUAUCUUC